GACGAACGCUGGCGGCGUGCUUAACACAUGCAAGUCGAACGGAAAGGCCCUGCUUUUGUGGGGUGCUCGAGUGGCGAACGGGUGAGUAACACGUGAGUAACCUGCCCUUGACUUUGGGAUAACUUCAGGAAACUGGGGCUAAUACCGGAUAGGAGCUCCUGCUGCAUGGUGGGGGUUGGAAAGUUUCGGCGGUUGGGGAUGGACUCGCGGCUUAUCAGCUUGUUGGUGGGGUAGUGGCUUACCAAGGCUUUGACGGGUAGCCGGCCUGAGAGGGUGACCGGCCACAUUGGGACUGAGAUACGGUCCAGACUCCUACGGGAGGCAGCAGUGGGGAAUAUUGCACAAUGGGCGGAAGCCUGAUGCAGCAACGCCGCGUGCGGGAUGACGGCCUUCGGGCUGUAAACCGCUUUCGCCUGUGACGAAGCGUGAGUGACGGUAAUGGGUAAAGAAGCACCGGCUAACUACGUG
Molecule: ribosomal RNA, 468 nt
Filed under: uncultured bacterium
Lineage: Bacteria
Description: partial 16S ribosomal RNA
Rfam family: Bacterial small subunit ribosomal RNA
Source: RNAcentral